Molecule: ribosomal RNA, 253 nt
Filed under: uncultured bacterium
Lineage: Bacteria
Description: partial 16S ribosomal RNA
Rfam family: Bacterial small subunit ribosomal RNA
Source: RNAcentral
UACGAAGGGGGCUAGCGUUGCUCGGAAUCACUGGGCGUAAAGGGUGCGUAGGCGGGUCUUUAAGUCAGGGGUGAAAUCCUGGAGCUCAACUCCAGAACUGCCUUUGAUACUGAAGAUCUUGAGUCCGGGAGAGGUGAGUGGAACUGCGAGUGUAGAGGUGAAAUUCGUAGAUAUUCGCAAGAACACCAGUGGCGAAGGCGGCGUUCUGGACUGCUACUGACACUGAGGAACGAAAGCCAGGGGAGCAAACGGG